GCUAUACACACUCCCAUGCCUCACGUCUGUUAUGGCGAGGAGGUGGGAUUAGCCAUCUAAUCUCCAACAAAUGAAAAUUCAAUCAAAGUUGCCUCCAAACAAAUACACCUCUAUUGAGUACCAUGCUUUUUGGUGACUGCUCCGGUAAAAGUCUCUGUGGUGGUAAUUUGCUGAACACUGGGAGAAAUGAGCAGUUUUGAGGAUGAGCUAUACACACUAUUCUGUAACAUUCUCGAAAAAUUACCGUUAGUCAUCCUCAAAUUUAUGAAAUUAUAAUUUAUUUAUUUUCUACGUCUCUAUUAUUCUACACACUCCGGAUCAAUAGGUGGCGCCUUGCACCCCCUUCAACGAUGGUCUACCUGGCGAAGUUUGCCAUCUGCCAAUAAUAACAACGAGGAAGAAAAAGAAGCGUAAGCUCAUUGGUUGUUUCCUGGGUGUGUUUUUCUGGUGACGCACUUCCCUUUUUUUUCCUCGUCUCUGAUUGGUUUCUGUCACGGCAGGGACCCGCCUAUUACAAACGUUGCUGGCUUUGAUGAACACAAUGUUAAUCACGCGAAUGAACGUAGCGUUAUCACCGGUAGUUAGCGAAUAUCACCGUUGUUUCCGCCUCGUCGAAGUGAAUUUGUCGGUGACUGAACUGAGUUUGCUAGGUUAGCUCACUAGCACAUGUUGUACGGGGAGUCGCACGGAUUGACCCGGGACUUCUGCCUAGUUUGCAUCAGGCUAAUUCGCCGAACGACAUCUACAAGAAACGCACGUUCUUGGGGAAAAUGGGCGAAAAGUGGACCGAUGAAAACCUCCAGAAGCUGUACGCUGCAAUGAAAAGCAACCUCCCCGAGCAGAGCAGAACGUGCUCUUACUUCAGGGUACUGAAAGGUCUGGACUGGACUACGGUGGCUUUCCCUCCUUUCUCUGCUGAAGAGUGCCAAGCAAAGUGGGGACAAGUUUUGCACAAGAUGCGCAAGUAUCGGUCCCUCACAGAGCUCAUAGACGAAGCUGAAUGUGUCCUUUCAAAUACUCACCAACAAAGUGAGGCUGUAGUGAAAUGUCUUGUUGAGCCCAAGAUGCCAGCCCGAUCUGGUAAUUCCAUUUUUGUAAAAGAUCAGAUGGCACUUCUUAAGGAGCAAGUCCCAAAUGCAAGGAACCGCUUCCUCAAAGCCAACCAAAACUGGAAUGACCUCUCCACAGAGGAGAAGAAAUGCUACAAAAUAAUAGUACAACAAAACGCAAAAAAAUAUUCAAUGGACCUGCAUGAGUGGUUUAAGACAUUGACGGCAGCAGAACAGGAGGGAUAUAGAACAUCUAACCCCAGAAAAUAUAAGUACAUUGAAGCCAUACAUAGCAACCAUGAGAGGGAAGAACAGAACAAUCAUGAUAUGGAAGACCAGAACAAUCAUGAGGUGGAAGACCAGAACAAUCAUAAGAGGGAAGAACUUUGCCCAAACAGACCGUCAGAUUCAGAAGAUGAAGACAUUGAGGACAGCAGCAGUGACGAAGAAGAGGACGAUCUAAACAGUGAUGAGGUUAGUAAACGAAAGCAUAAUUUUGUAUUCAGUUUUUUAAUUGUGCAUCCGGCUGUUAUAAAAAUAUAA
Scophthalmus maximus (turbot) is the source of this 1592-nucleotide long non-coding RNA. The record is from Ensembl. Lineage: Eukaryota; Metazoa; Chordata; Actinopteri; Pleuronectiformes; Scophthalmidae.